CAAUCUAAGGAUAAGGGACCUGUUAUUGACGAAGCUGGAACGGGUGUUAUUGUAAAGGAGGUGGUUGUGCCAACUGUGGUUGCACACGUCCAAGGCAAGGGAAAGAGGAUACAACAGGAGUCCGGAGAUGUGGCGUUGAACGUGGCAGCAUCUAGAGUCAACAAGGCAAGUCUGGCUGACAGGUCUCCAUUCAAUGAGCGGGCUGUUAGACUAACAGCCAAGGCGAACAUUUGUAUACAAGGAGCUCUAUUACUGGGUACUAAGCACGGCAGAAAAAAAUAAGGACUCCAUUGUCUAUAAAGACAUCUUCAGGAAACAGUACAGGGUGAGUUCCAAUCCUUUGCACCCUUCAACAUGGUCAGCCCGGCAAUUGUAGACACCUGGACUUCUUACUUGAACAACAUGGAGAAGCUGAAAGCCCCGGAGACUAUUUCAAGGCUCUUCUUCUCCACAAAUCCUUGCAAGCACACCGUUGUCGACACUCCAGCAGAAUGGAUUGAGCAGCGGCAAUUUGAUACGUUCUGGACCACACUGUUCGGAGAAGCGCUGGGUAUGGGAAACCUUCAAUGGGAGAACUAUGAUAUGGUAAAUGCUUGUUGCUUUGUGCAUUAU
This is a long non-coding RNA of Salvia splendens (bonfire salvia), 612 nucleotides long. RefSeq lists it as uncharacterized. The record is from RefSeq and is a predicted model, not a curated record. NCBI's taxonomy places the organism in Eukaryota, Viridiplantae, Streptophyta, Magnoliopsida, Lamiales, Lamiaceae. The transcript is spliced from 4 exons.